AGUAACGCGUGAGGAACCUGCCUUUCAGUGGGGGAUAACACAUCGAAAGAUGUGCUAAUACCGCAUAACAUAGCGAUGGGGCAUCCCAUUGUUAUCAAAGAUUUAUUGCUGAAAGAUGGCCUCGCGUCCAAUUAGCUAGUUGGUGAGGUAACGGCCCACCAAGGCGACGAUUGGUAGCCGGACUGAGAGGUUGAACGGCCACAUUGGGACUGAGACACGGCCCAG
This 225-nucleotide ribosomal RNA is filed under the name uncultured Bacillota bacterium. RNAcentral's name for it is "uncultured Firmicutes bacterium partial 16S ribosomal RNA". It matches the Rfam family "Bacterial small subunit ribosomal RNA", at positions 109 to 334 of the family's 1533-position model. Lineage: Bacteria; Bacillati; Bacillota. The record is from RNAcentral.